UCUAGGUAUAAGCAAUUAUACCGUGAAACUGCGAAUGGCUCAUUAAAUCAGUUAUCGUUUAUUUGAUAGUACCUUACUACUUGGAUACCUGUGGUAAUUCUAGAGCUAAUACAUGCUAAAAACCCCGACUUCGGAAGGGGUGUAUUUAUUAGAUAAAAAACCAAUGCCCUUCGGGGCUCCUUGGUGAUUCAUAAUAACUUCUCAGAUCGCAUGGCCUUGCGCCGGCGACGGUUCAUUCAAAUUUCUGCCCUAUCAACUUUCGAUGGUAAGGUAUUGGCUUACCAUGGUUUCUACGGGUAACGGGGAAUUAGGGUUCGAUUCCGGAGAGUUAGCCUGAGAAACGGCUAACACAUCCAAGGAAGGCAGCAGGCGCGCAAAUUACCCAAUCCUGAUACAGGGAGGUAGUGACAAUAAAUACUGAUACAGGGCUCUUUUGGGUCUUGUAAUUGGAAUGAGUACAAUUUAAACCUCUUAACGAGGAACAAUUGGAGGGCAAGUCUGGUGCCAGCAGCCGCGGUAAUUCCAGCUCCAAUAGCGUAUAUUAAAGUUGUUGCAGUUAAAAAGCUCGUAGUUGAACCUUUGGCCUGGCUGGCAGGUCCGCCUCACCGCGUGCACUUGUCCGGCCGGGCCUUUUCUUCUGGAGAACCGCAUGCCCUUCACUGGGUGUGUUGGGGACCAGGACUUUUACUUUGAAAAAAUUAGAGUGUUCAAAGCAGGCCUUUGCUCGAAUAUUACAGCAUGGAAUAAUAAAAUAGGACGUCGGUUCUAUUUUGUUGGUUUCUAGGACCGCCGUAAUGAUUAAUAGGGACAGUCGGGGGCAUCAGUAUUCAAUUGUCAGAGGUGAAAUUCUUGGAUUUAUUGAAGACUAACUACUGCGAAAGCAUUUGCCAAGGAUGUUUUCAUUAAUCAGUGAACGAAAGUUAGGGGAUCGAAGACGAUCAGAUACCGUCGUAGUCUUAACCAUAAACUAUGCCGACUAGGGAUCGGGCGGUGUUAUAAUUUUGACUCGCUCGGCACCUUACGAGAAAUCAAAGUGUUUGGGUUCUGGGGGGAGUAUGGUCGCAAGGCUGAAACUUAAAGAAAUUG
This 1086-nucleotide ribosomal RNA is filed under the name Byssothecium circinans. RNAcentral describes it as "SSU rRNA". It matches the Rfam family "Eukaryotic small subunit ribosomal RNA", at positions 58 to 1155 of the family's 1831-position model. The record is from RNAcentral. Lineage: Eukaryota; Fungi; Ascomycota; Dothideomycetes; Pleosporales; Massarinaceae.